RNAcentral lists this long non-coding RNA (467 nucleotides) under Pan troglodytes (chimpanzee). Its description in RNAcentral is "long non-coding RNA NONPTRT009162". Lineage: Eukaryota; Metazoa; Chordata; Mammalia; Primates; Hominidae. The record is from RNAcentral.
GGGAAUCAAAGACCAAACCAUAGAGGCUGUUACUGAAUACUUCUGCCAGAUUUUUGGUUGCUGCAUCUCUCCAAGCUAUUCUAGGAGUCAUUUCUUGAGGGACUAAGGAACACAUUCUCUCCUUGCUUGGUGAUGUUGAGGACUUGGCAGGGUUGAUUACCUAACAGGUAGCACCUUUCUCCGAGAAGAUCAGGGGGCUGUUUGAACACAAGUCAACAUUAUAUAUGGUUCUUCUGUUCAUGCCUGUUUGCUUGGUUGCUCAAUUCUGCUUCCGCUGUGGGUUCUUUGUUCCCUUUCUUUUGCUUAUUGCUGCUCAUGGUUGUAAUGGUGUUCUGUUAUAUCCAUUUACCUAAAGCACUUGAGACUUAUGUUUUAGGAAUCUAGAAGACCAAGAAGACAUGCUUAAAAAUGGAAUUUUUUAUGAUUGCAACAUGGUGAUUCACCCUUUUAUAUAUUACAAGUUCAAU